Molecule: ribosomal RNA, 1027 nt
Filed under: Rubroshiraia bambusae
Lineage: Eukaryota; Fungi; Ascomycota; Dothideomycetes; Pleosporales; Shiraiaceae
Description: SSU rRNA
Rfam family: Eukaryotic small subunit ribosomal RNA
Source: RNAcentral
UAUACCGUGAAACUGCGAAUGGCUCAUUAAAUCAGUUAUCGUUUAUUUGAUAGUACCUUACUACUUGGACAACCGUGGUAAUUCUAGAGCUAAUACAUGCUGACAACCUCGACUUACGAAGAGGUGUAUUUAUUAGAUAAAAAACCAACGCCCUUCGGGGCUUCUUGGUGAUUCAUAAUAACUUUACGGAUCGCAUGGCCUUGCGCCGGGCGACGGUUCAUUCAAAUUUCUGCCCUAUCAACUUUCGAUGGUAAGGUAUUGGCUUACCAUGGUUUCAACGGGUAACGGGGAAUUAGGGUUCGAUUCCGGAGAGGGAGCCCGAGAAACGGCUACCACAUCCAAGGAAGGCAGCAGGCGCGCAAAUUACCCAAUCCCGAUACGGGGAGGUAGUGACAAUAAAUACUGAUACAGGGCUCUUUUGGGUCUUGUAAUUGGAAUGAGUACAAUUUAAACCUCUUAACGAGGAACAAUUGGAGGGCAAGUCUGGUGCCAGCAGCCGCGGUAAUUCCAGCUCCAAUAGCGUAUAUUAAAGUUGUUGCAGUUAAAAAGCUCGUAGUUGAACCUUGGGUCUGGCUGGCAGGUCCGCCUCACCGCGUGUACUUGUCCGGCCGGGCCUUCCUUCUGGAGAACCUCAUGCCCUUCACUGGGCGUGUUGGGGACCAGGACUUUUACUUUGAAAAAAUUAGAGUGUUCAAAGCAGGCCUUUGCUCGAAUACGUUAGCAUGGAAUAAUAGAAUAGGACGUGCGGUCCUAUUUUGUUGGUUUCUAGGACCGCCGUAAUGAUUAAUAGGGACAGUCGGGGGCAUCAGUAUUCAAUUGUCAGAGGUGAAAUUCUUGGAUUUAUUGAAGACUAACUACUGCGAAAGCAUUUGCCAAGGAUGUUUUCAUUAAUCAGUGAACGAAAGUUAGGGGAUCGAAGACGAUCAGAUACCGUCGUAGUCUUAACCGUAAACUAUGCCGACUAGGGAUCGGGCGAUGUUAUUUUUCUGACUCGCUCGGCACCUUACGAGAAAUCAAAGUUUUUGGG